RNAcentral lists this long non-coding RNA (837 nucleotides) under Olea europaea subsp. europaea. Lineage: Eukaryota; Viridiplantae; Streptophyta; Magnoliopsida; Lamiales; Oleaceae. The record is from RNAcentral.
UUACCAGAAUAAUAACCUGUGAAAUUGCAAAGGAGGCCUAGGACAGGUUGCAAGAGGAGUUCAGAGGCAAUGCAAGAACAAGACAAAUGCAAGUCUUGAACUUGAGAAGAAAAUAUAAGGGCCUGAAGAUGAAGGAUUCUGAAUCUGUCAAAGAUUAUGCUGAUAGGUUGAUUAAGGUAGUGAACAAGAUAAGGCUUUUGGGAGAUGAUUUACCUGAUAGAAGGGUCAUUGAAAAGGUGCUGAUUAGCUUACCAGAAAAGUUUGAAGCUAAAAUCUCAACUCUUGAAGACUCUAGAUCUAUCAUCCAUCACCUUAUCUGAGCUGGUUAAUGCCUUGCAAACCACUGAGCAAAGGAGGUUAAUGAGGCAAGAAGACCAAGUAGAAGGUGCCUUGUUUGUUAAAGGAAAGCAUAAGGCACAGACUAGCUUUAGGCCAAGGAAAAAUCAGCAAGACAAGAGAAGAUUCGAAGGCAGCAAGGGUGCUGAUAAAAACUCUGCUAAUCCUCCAUGUCCACAUUAUCAAAAGAUUGUACAUUCUCCAAAUUGGUGCUGGUUCAAACCAGGGGCGCAAUGCAAGUCAUGUAAGGAGUUUGGACAUGUUCAAAGGGUUUGUAGAAAUAAGAAAGGGAAGCAGAUUGAGCAGCAAGCUAAAAUUGUUGAAAGUCAGCAACUAGAUCAGCUGGAAGAGCAUCUCUUUGCUGUUGCAAACUACAAAAUGCCUAGCAAUAUUGGAGGCUGGUUACUGGAUAGUGGAUGCACCCAUCACAUAACUUCGGACCUCAGCAUCUUUGUUGAAUUGAGUGACAACUACAGAUCAAGAGUUAAAGUUGGCAAUGGA